CAUUGCAGGGUCGUUCACAGGACUGAUACACGAUAGCUAGCGAACUAGCAUUAGCUUACCCUCAUAUGUCGUCUCGUUCAUAUCCUCUUGUCUUCGACUUGAUACUGCUGUAUCGCCUCCCAAACUCUCCUGUGUGUCUCCUGAGUGUUCCGACUCGCCACUCUCAGCUUUCUCCGACUCUUCUAUUACUUUGAAUCUGACAGAAAGCCACAGACCGAGCAGCAGGUGAACCAUCGUCUCCGUUAUGUUGCGUUUGUGUCGCACGCAAAUGACGUUAACGACUUUCGGCUCGCUGCGCUAUGACGACUCCACCCACGAUGAGGCUAUAUGGAAAAACAACUAAACCGAGACGAGCCGAGUCAGAUACAAUAGUGGCGAACCGUACCGCGCAGAGUAGAUGCUUGUGGAAUCGCCUCGGCUGCGGAGACGACUGGUGAGGGUUAAGCCGGAGCUGGGCGAAGGAUGGCUGAGGUGAAGGUAGAAGAUGAACCGGGUGAGUCCACAUCCAGGGGGGUCGGGUGAUCUCUACCGGAAGGCAGUCCUGACUAGGGGCAGAGCAAAUUACUUGGCGUACUAAGGUAACGGUAAAAUGAAGAACUGAGUCAGUACUGACGAGCAGCUUUUACGAUCCGGCGUCGACAGAAGAGUGGAGCCCGAUUAAGUAGUGCGGGGGGGAGUGACUGAUCGGCUCCGCACAUCUGCUCCCACUGAUUACCCAGAAGGAGCUCUUCCACACCUGUCGCCGCCUCCUCAACAACAAGCAUUUCUAAAAAGGACACACACACACACACACACACACACACACACACACACACACACACACACACACACACACACACACACACACACACACACACACACACACACACACACACACACACACACACACACACACACACACACACACACACACACACACACACACACACACACACACACACACACACACACACACACACACACACACACACACACACACACACACACACACACACACACACACACGGGGAGGAGGGGCACUAGCCAGGGCCUGCAGAGACAGGCCUGACAAUAGGUUUUAUUUUUGUUCUAGGUCAAUCCAUGAGGACUGGGUUAAAGAGCAUCAAUAAAUAUGUAAUCUGAAAUGACAUGUUUGUGUGUUGUUAGUGACAGGUUGUUUUGGUAAUGUAAUGGUAUGUACAGUUUCUGUAGUAUUUAGUGUAUCUGUCAUAUUUCAAAUAGCAAUGAAAGCUUAACAUUUUAUUUGUAAGUCAUUAGUAGAAUAUUAUAUUUAUUGUAGAUAGAUGAAUUUAUAUAUUUAGUGUAAGACAUAUGAUAUCCAUGUGUCAGUAUUGUUGUAUGGUAAUCGUUUUAAGAACAUGAGCUGCAUUACCCUUUUACUUAGAAAUUUGAAUAAGUACAUGAAUAUAAAUGUAACUUACCUUGUAGGUGCUUGUAAAUAAAUAGGGCUUUGUGAUAGACAUUUCUUGUUAGUGUGUUUCAGUCUUCAGUUCAGAUUUAGUUAUAUGCUUGUAAAUAUGACAUGUGAAACAAUGUACUAAAAAUAAUUAUUUUAACAUGAAGCAAUAGUAGUUUAGAACCUUUGUUACUGCAUCUGUGGAGUUUCUUGAAUAGUGGUGUUGACAUGUGCUGUGGUUGUUUUGUUCAGUGGAUGAGCAUGGGCUCAGUGCAAGAUGGCUGCCUACAUACAUCAUAGCUACAUGCAAAGCUAUCUAGAUGGCUAGCAUUCUGUGCCCUAGGUAGAUAGGCCGCUAAGCUGGAAAGAUGGAAAGAUGGCGCGGAAACCGGUGAAUAGUUACUUAAAAUUCAGUCAAAGGUUCCAGGUCCCCAGCCUGUAGAGGAGAAGACUCAACAAACACACAGUGGAGGUAAUGCAAUGGCCAGAAUUUCUCUAUCCAGUGAUAAAUACUUCUUACCUGUUUGCCACAUGCACUUCUCCCUCACAGGAUUGCACCUAAACAAAAGUAACACAACAGGUUACCAUUAAACACUUUUCUCCUGCAAUAUUAUUGUGGUUUCAACUUACACAUUGACUCGGGCAGCAAUGCUCUCCCAGGCCAUCUCCCUCUUGCACCUAAAUGAAAUAACAGGUUACCAUUAAACACUUUUCUCCUGCAAUAUUAUUGUGGUUUCAACUUACACAUUGACUCGGGCAGCAAUGCUCUCCCACACCAUUUCCCUCUCGUUUGCAGCGGUGUUGCACUUCUUUCUAAAAACGUGUUCAAACUCGCUAUAUAAGCGCAUUAAGAUUUCCAAUUCAAACGGUGUCGUCCUCUGUUUACCCGUUGCCACGGUGACUCGUCGAAUCGGCGCUCCAUUGAUACUGGCUUUUCAGACCUGUGGCGCACGUGCUUAAUUCCGGGGGAAACUACUCCGACUUGAUUUAACCAACAACAGUUUGUUGAACCCACUUCGUGAAACGGACUCCAGCAGACAAACUAAACCACAACUAACACUAAAACAAACUACACUACCAAACCUACAAAAACCACAAAACCAAACAGGAAUAACCUCAACCAAACAACACAGCAAUGUACUUACAAAAACCAGGGGAAAACAGAGCUAAAGGCUAGGCAGGCUAGGAGAACCCAGAAGCUAGUGGGGAAACAAAACUGGCAGACUGAAGACCAGGGAGCAUCCAAAAACAGACAGGAGUUGAACAGAGUCCACAAGAGAAAAAUCCAGGACAGCAAAAUCGGUUGAGUCCAAGAGGCUGAAGCUGACAAGCAGUAGAAGGCUUGGUGGGGAAACCCACAAUCCAGGAACACAGCAGAAGCCAUGGAGGGAUGUGAGCCGAUGAUCCGGCAAUGAGUGACUGGAAGCACAGAGCUUAAAUACUGGAGGUGAGGUAGAGAACAGUCAAUGGAGUGACCUAAUUACUGCAGGUGACACUCAUUACAGUAAUCAGCAAAUAGAGUGCAGGCAGGUGAAGCAACUUGACUCUGUCUGUCAUCUCUCCUCGUCCCUGUCUCUUGCUCUCCCUGCUUCACCUGUCUGCACUCAGCUGAUUACUGCAGGUGACUCACAUUACAGUAAUCAGCUCACCUGCCCUCAAUAUCACCUGCUCACUAUUUAAACUCUGCUUAGUGACUCUUUGCCUGUUUGACCAUAAACUACUGGACGCCUGCUUCCCUCCAGGCUCAGAUUCCCACAAAGACUCACAUGGCUUCACACGCUCUGCUCCCUCAUGGACUCUGCUUCCCCACUUCUGGACUCCUUUUUCCCCGACCCGUUUUCUCCGUCUUGUGAGUACCUCUCCUUAGUUUACUUUUGUUAAUCCAGUUUAGUAUUGGUUGACUUCCGUUUCUGUAUUCGUAGUGUUUGCUGGGUUUUAAAUAGUUGGGUUUUGUUUUGUUUCCCCAGUUCAGCUCUCCAUUUAUGUACUAGUUUAGUUAUCUUUUUUUAAAUGAAACUCUUUCCAUUAUUCACCUGUCUGCAAGUCUCUCUGUGUCUGUGCCUGCUUUGUCCAACUCAGGGCCCAAACCGUCCCUUAAAUAACCCUGGGUCCGUUUCACGAAGCAGGUUCAACAAACUCUGUGUAACCCUGAACUCUGAGUUGAUCUACUCUGAGAUAGAAAACUCUGAGUUUUCGGUUUCACAACGGCUGAUUUGAGUUGGUUUAAUCAACUCGGAGUAGUUUCACCCAGAGUGCACCGCAACUAUAAAAAGACAGCAUCAAUGGAACCCCGAUUCGACGACUCACCGUGGUGACGGGGGAGCGGAGAGCUACGUUUUUUACACCACUUGAACUGGACAUCUUAAUGCGUUCAUAUGGCGACUUCGAACACGUUUUUAGAAAGAAGUGCAGCAGCUGCAAAAGAGAGGGAGACGGCGUGGGAGAACAUUGCUGCCCGGGUCAAUGCGUAAGUUUAAAUCACAAUAAUAUUACAGGAAAACUGUUUAAUAGUAGCCUAUUCUGUUAUUUCAUUUAGGUGCAAUCCUGCAGGGGAAGAAGCGCAUGUAACAGCAGCUGAAGAUGAAAUAUAAGAACAUUGUUCAAACAGAAAGAAAGCAGAUGCCUGUAAAAAGGGAGGUGGCCCAGCACCACCACCUGUAACGGAGGCAGAGGAGCUGGUCCUAAGCCAGAAUUUAGGAAGGCCAGUGGCUGAGGGAAUCCCUGGAGGGAGCUCAUCCUCUGAGACCACAUCCCAAGACACAAGUGUGUGCGUGUGUGUGUGUUCAUGCGCCCACUGAACAUUUGCCAUAAGGAAGCACAGAGCACUGCAUCGUUUCUGCGUACGAGCGAGUGUGUGUGCAGCCACAGCGAUGGCAUGCGUGAAGGGGUGUGCUUUAAAGAUAGUGAGUUUAAUUAAAGAUGAAAGGGCUGAUGAUUAAUUGAUGGAAGGUGGACUGUUCCAUCAGGCUGAAGUGUGUGUGUGUGUGUGUGUGCGCGCGCGCGCGUGCGUGCGUGUGUGUGUGGACUCUUCUACUGUCGACAAACAGAAAAAGUGGGGAAAAAAAAGCUACAUUUUUUUUGAGAAAACUAGGACAGCAUCUUAAAAGACACAUUAUAUCGUCAUUUAAAAACAAAUGAUAAAUAUAAUUUGCUAAUUUGAUCAGUCCUUUAUUGAAGAAAACUGGCGUGGAGGUUCAGAUACACACAUCUGGAUGACAAAAAAGAUAUUUAAAUGAUUUUCUAGUGCAGAUCUUUGCCUGUAUUUACUCAUGCCGUGCUAUAGAAGUGAGCAGAUCAUCCCUGCUGUAUUUUUACUGCUCAUCUCUCAGCAGGUCUUCCUUUGCCCCCGUCUUCUCAAGGUGGCACCGAGAGAGACUCUCCUCUAUAAAAAAUGGAGCAGCACAAGCUCUUUUGACAUCACACUUUCUGCUACCAGGACAUUAGAAAGAGAAGGUGGAGCACUCCGGACAAAACGCUCUCGGUCUGUGCAUCUGUACUGAAGAUUUAAUCUCCACGCGACACUCUGAGUCAGAGAGGUUGCUGGGGGAUUAGUUUGUCUCACCUGCCGCUAAUGUGAUUAUUCCAGGCCAGCUGUAAAUUUCUGUAUAUAUUGUUUUAUUUAAUUUUGCUAUUUCAUUUUUCUUCCUGUUCCUUUCUAUAGUUUCUUUAUUUUUUAUUAUUCUCUUCCAUAUUCCUAGUGUGACACCAACAGCCGAAACCAAAUUCCUUGCAUGUUGUGUACUUACUUGGCCAUUAGAGCCGAUUCUGAUCACUUUUCUGUCUUUGGUCUAGGCAAGAGGAAAAGGUGCAACAGAAAAUUGGACUUUCCAAGCAUACUUGUGGAGAUGCACGCUGAGGAGGAGUGGAGUCAUGCCCAGCAUGAUGAGAACAUCUGGUUGCUCCUCAGCGAGGCAAGAGAGAAUGAAGCGGCCUUGCAGCGGGAGGAGAUGGUCCAGAAUGCUGCCUUCAACCAGUCAUUCCUGGGUGUACUGGGGCAGCUGGUGCAGGCAGUGGGCAGCCAGCGAGUCCACCUCCCAGAGACUUGAGAUUUAGUUGUAUAUAGUUUUACUUUUAGCCCUCUACUGUAGGAGAGGCCCACCACAGUUUGUACUUUACACAUUGUAAAUAGUUUUGAUUUUGCUGCUGACUAAUAAACUAUUUUGUGACUUA
Molecule: long non-coding RNA, 5566 nt
Organism: Amphiprion ocellaris (clown anemonefish)
Lineage: Eukaryota; Metazoa; Chordata; Actinopteri; Pomacentridae
Exons: 2
Source: RefSeq, a predicted model, not a curated record